UUUUUCGCUCCGAUAAUGAUGUUAAUUUCCUCACACACUACGGCUCUUUUCUAGCAGCUGUGAUUUAGGAUUAGGAAUAUCUACUGGAUGGGGUUCUGUCCCUUGAUAUUGCUGAGUAUUAACCUACAGUUUUAGCCACAAAUAUUGCUGAUCAUUAGUUAUAUUAUGGUGUGGUGUGGUAGUGAUGUCAGGCUGCAGUGGUGAAAUGUUUUCUUGAUGUGGUGGUGGUUAGGAAAAGACAGUGAGAGAUAAUGGUAUAGUGAUACACAAGGUACAGUCGGCUUCAAAAUGAAACACACUUUCUUACCUCUGUUCCUACCAAUAUUUCUAGCCUCUUACCAUGUCAACUCCAGGUUUAUUAGGAGGUAGUAAAUAUGAUUGGUUGGAAGUCUGAAGCUUCCUGUACAUGCGGUAAAGGUAAUAAUGUGAAUGACUUGUGAUGAUGAGGGGAGAAAGGUGGCGAUAGAUGAGGAUGGUGGUGAUAUUGUUCAGUGAGUGAAAAAAGGUUAACGCAUGGUGCUGGAGGUGGCUGGGGGUGUGAGAGUGAGAGUGAUGGAGGAUCAGAGGUGAUGUGAUUGUCAAUGAUGGUGUCAAUGAUGGGUGCUGGAGUGAUGGAGGUCACGGGAGGUUGGAUAACGGCGUGAUGAUUAGUGAUGGGGGAGUAAUGGAUAUGACGUGUUGUGAGGGAAUGAUGAUUAAUGAUGGGAAGUGAUGUGUACUGACAGCCUAUUUUUCUUUAGGGCAAUAUGGGCUUCGGUUCCCUCCCAUUGCUUCCUUGCAACCCUGUCUCCUUUCUCAUUUACCGAGUUUCACAUAUUACCGUUACUGGUAAUUUAAAUUUUCUUUACUCUGAGUUGUGACCUUCGUUCUUUCACUCAACUGAGUGUAUCGAAUGAUAAUUUUUACGUAAUGAAAAAAAAAACGAAAUUAUUUUCAAGAUUAUCACUGCAGUCUCUCUCUCUCUCUCUCUCUCUCUCUCUCUCUCUCUCUCUCUCUCUCAGUAUUGUCGAUUCUCUGUUUCCAUCCUCUACAGAGCACUUUACACCGUCAUUCGUUCUCUCUCCCUCUUCUCCUCCCCUGGGACGUAGUCUGUCCUCUCAAACGGUGUUUACGAACCACAGCCACUUACCAAAGACUUAUUUAAAAUCGAUUUCUCUCCCCACCUCUUUCCCUAUCAUUGCUAGUUUUCUCAGCCUAACAUGACUUGUUACCCAGCCAGGUGUGUCAGCGGUGUUGUGAUCGUCGCCUAGAGGUGUCCAUGUUCCGGGAGUCGCUGCCCUUCCAGUCCCCCUCCGCUGUCUGUCUGAGCAACCUGGGUGAAGAGCGGCGGACGCCGCGUUCCAUGUUAAUGUUUCCUGACCAGCCGUCCUCUCUUAUUUUCCCAGUCCUAGCGAGGUGAAGGAGGGACGCUUGCUUCUGCGGCAAACAAGGACUGAGGUGAAGGAGGGACGCUUGCUUCUGCGGCAAACAGAAGCAAUCCGCGAGGACGACAGGAAGGUGCGAACGUUUGAUUGAUGUGGAUGAAAAUGGUUAAUUAAUUGCUCAAUAUGUUGCUGACCAGCAGUCUUCAACGUUCGCACCUUGUCAUCCUCGUGGGUUGCUAUCUUAAACACCUUCACCACUUUAUCAGAAGCCGCCUCCUUUACUAACUAGUAGGGACUGGAGAGGCAAAGAGGACGGGGCUGAUCAGCAAACGGACGGAGAAACCAAGAAUGCCAUCUCGUGUCUCCAACCCUACGGGGUGGUUGUAAGCACCGAGGACGCAAGGAUGGGGAUAGCCCACGAACGCCCGGCGAUGUCUUUAGUACGAAAACUCUGGGAGGGCGAAGGCACGUGGCAUUCAGCGGGUGAGAACUCAGCAAUGUUGCUGGAAGACAAGCAAGUGUUGCAACUGUGGACAUCUAGCACCAGAGCGGUAGCCGGCCAUCACGAAUUACCCACACCAUUUCGAGAUGAAGAACCGGAUCUGCCAAACAACAACAACGAGAUGGCGCAGAAACGCUUGAAGGGACAGACGACGCCUCGCUAGGGAUCCGGACUUCAGACGACGAUAUGCAGGAGAGAGAGAGAACAAUUGCUAUUAGAGAGUUAUGCCAGCGUCUGAACGUGAAGGACCACGAGGAGUAACCUGGUGCCUGCCUCACCAUCCACUCAUGAACCCAAACAAACCUGAGAAAGUGAAGGCUUUGUUUGCGCAGCGAAGUACAACAACGUUUCCCUCAAAGACGGAGUGAUGCAGGUUCCUGACCUAAAUAGCAAACUGGUGGGUGCCCUUCUGCGUUUCCGAAGUGAACUGAUUGCCGCGAUGGCUAAUGAUGUGAAGGCAAUGUUUCUCAUCAAGCUGGCGUGACCCCUCUUCACCGAGACUCCUUAAGAUUCCUUUAGUGGAAAGAUGGGGACCUAAGGAGGGUAACGCGCGCCUACCGAAUGACGGGUAUGUCUUUUCGGAUGUGUAUGGAGUCCCUCCUGUGCUGCUUACGCAUUGCAAUGAACUUUGAGUUUGACCGACUGUGAGGAAGAAUAUCGCAUGGCCAGUAGUAAACUAAGCAUGGAGAGGCUUGUACGUGGACAACUUGAUUCUUUCAGUACCUCCACCGAAAAUGCCUCCAGAUUUACUCGCGAUCUUCAACAAAUGCUCACAAAGAGAGGAUUUCUGCUAACAAAGUGGGGUUAGUAGUAACCAUAAGGAGACAUAGUAGUAGUACACUGUGUCCUACAGAGAGAGACAUGAAUAAGAAUAGAUCUGAGUAAGGACGCACUGGCUACAAAACAGGAUCUGGAAAGGGAUCAAUCAACUAGCUGUGAGGGGAGUACUGAGGGUGAGCAGUUCCGUGUAUGACCCUCUUGGACUGGUCAGUCCUGUAAUGAUUAAGGCGAAGGCGAAGAAGAUCUUUCAGGACGAGUGCAACCGAAAGGAAGGAUGGAUGCCCCCCUCCUGCUAAAUCACCACAGGUCCUAGUUGGCUUGGCUAGAGGAGUUACCACGACUGACGGUCUUUCAAGUUCCCCGAUGCUACAGGCGGGAGGACAUGGGAGACGUUAUCACUUACCAACUGCAUCAUUUCAGAUCAAACAUGCUGAGAUGGUGAUAUUAAGAGUUGUUCAAACCACAACGUGCAAAGAAGAGAUGAACCUAAAGUUAAAGUCAAAGAAAAAAAACUACAGAGGAAGCAUUCGAUCUGUCGAGUGGAACCCUUCAUGGGUGAGGGUGGAUUUUACUCCAUGUGGACGGCUGGACCACGCACCGUUGCCUGCUACAAGUCGGUAUCCCAUUUCCACCAUGCUCAUACGGAGAGAGAUCAUCAUAUCACACAAAAUUGAUUCUACAAGAGUGCAUGAGAACUUACUUACUUGACAGUUCACGCAGGAUGGGAGCAUGUUACGUCACACUUACUGGAUUCCACACACACCACCUGCCUGAGGACCGAGACUAACCCCCAUGCUGGCACCAUUCUCGUCAGCUGGAGUGGAUUGCUUCAGACCGUUCUUGGUCAAAGUGGAAAGAAGCAGAGUGAAAGUGUUGGGGAUGCCUCCACGUGCACGCACAUAAGAACAUAAGAAAUAAGGGAAGCUGCAAGAAGCGACCAGGCUUCUUCAUGCAGGGACGUGGCAGUCUCUGUAUGAAAUAUAUCUACCUAUUUUUCUCUAUUUCUUAUCCC
Molecule: long non-coding RNA, 3658 nt
Organism: Scylla paramamosain (green mud crab)
Lineage: Eukaryota; Metazoa; Arthropoda; Malacostraca; Decapoda; Portunidae
Exons: 2
Source: RefSeq, a predicted model, not a curated record